UACAGAGGGGGCAAGCGUUGUUCGGAAUUACUGGGCGUAAAGAGCGUGUAGGCGGUCCGGUAAGUCAGCUGUGAAAGUCAAGGGCUCAACCCUUGAAUGCCGGUUGAUACUGUCGGGCUAGAGUCCGGAAGAGGCGAGUGGAAUUCCCGGUGUAGCGGUGAAAUGCGCAGAUAUCGGGAGGAACACCAAUGGCGAAGGCAGCUCGCUGGGACGGUACUGACGCUGAGACGCGAAAGCGUGGGGAGCAAACAGG
This 253-nucleotide ribosomal RNA is filed under the name uncultured bacterium. RNAcentral describes it as "partial 16S ribosomal RNA". It matches the Rfam family "Bacterial small subunit ribosomal RNA", at positions 524 to 776 of the family's 1533-position model. The record is from RNAcentral.